UGGGGAAUAUUGCACAAUGGGCGAAAGCCUGAUGCAGCAACGCCGCGUGAGGGAUGACGGCCUUCGGGUUGUAAACCUCUUUUAGUAGGGAAGAAGCGUAAGUGACGGUACCUACAGAAAAAGCACCGGCUAACUACGUGCCAGCAGCCGCGGUAAUACGUAGGGUGCAAGCGUUGUCCGGAAUUAUUGGGCGUAAAGAGCUCGUAGGCGGCUUGUCGCGUCUGCUGUGAAAACCCGGAGCUCAACUCCGGGCCUGCAGUGGGUACGGGCAGGCUAGAGUGCGGUAGGGGAGAUUGGAAUUCCUGGUGUAGCGGUGGAAUGCGCAGAUAUCAGGAGGAACACCGAUGGCGAAGGCAGAUCUCUGGGCCGCUACUGACGCUGAGGAGCGAAAGCAUGGGGAGCGAACA
This 407-nucleotide ribosomal RNA is filed under the name uncultured bacterium. RNAcentral's name for it is "bacterial SSU rRNA". It matches the Rfam family "Bacterial small subunit ribosomal RNA", at positions 355 to 774 of the family's 1533-position model. The record is from RNAcentral.